This 501-nucleotide ribosomal RNA is filed under the name uncultured bacterium. RNAcentral's name for it is "partial 16S ribosomal RNA". It matches the Rfam family "Bacterial small subunit ribosomal RNA", at positions 30 to 523 of the family's 1533-position model. The record is from RNAcentral.
AUUGAACGCUGGCGGCAGGCUUAACACAUGCAAGUCGAGCGGGGGAAGGUAGCUUGCUACCGGACCUAGCGGCGGACGGGUGAGUAAUGCUUAGGAAUCUGCCUAUUAGUGGGGGACAACAUCUCGAAAGGGAUGCUAAUACCGCAUACGUCCUACGGGAGAAAGGAGGGGAUCCUCGGACCUUGCGCUAAUAGAUGAGCCUAAGUCGGAUUAGCUAGUUGGUGGGGUAAAGGCCUACCCAGGCGACGAUCUGUGGCGGGUCUGAGAGGAUGAUCCGCCACAAUGGGACUGCGACACGGCCCAGACUCCUACGGGAGGCAGCAGUGGGGAAUAUUGGACAAUGGGGGGAACCCUGAUCCAGCCAUGCCGCGUGUGUGAAGAAGGCCUUAUGGUUGUAAAGCACUUUAAGCGAGGAGGAGGCUACUCUAGUUAAUACCUAGGGAUAGUGGACGUUACUCGCAGAAUAAGCACCGGCUAACUCUGUGCCAGCCGCCGCAGUAA